UACGUAGGGGGCUAGCGUUUUCCGGAAUCAUUGGGCGUAAAGCGCGUGUAGGCGGUCCGGUAAGUCCGCUGUGAAAGUCGGGGGCUCAACCCUCGGAUGCCGGUGGAUACUGUCGGGCUUGAGUACGGAAGAGGCGAGUGGAAUUCCUGGUGUAGCGGUGAAAUGCGCAGAUAUCAGGAGGAACACCAAUUGCGAAGGCAGCUCGCUGGGACGUUACUGACGCUGGGACGCGAAAGCAUGGGGAGCGAACAGG
Molecule: ribosomal RNA, 253 nt
Filed under: uncultured bacterium
Lineage: Bacteria
Description: partial 16S ribosomal RNA
Rfam family: Bacterial small subunit ribosomal RNA
Source: RNAcentral